AACCGCUAGGUAGGCAGGCUACCACCCAAGCUCACGAUGUCCUUGGGAAUCCUGUGCUUCCCGCGUUUUUCGCGCAAACUGAGAAACUGGGUACUAGUGGAAUCGAAUUGAACAUGGCGACGACCUCGAAGUGUACGUGGAAGGAGGUUGAACUCCGUUGUUGGGAUUCGUUGUCGCAGGGAAUUGAUGAUGUUUGUGCCUGUUAAGCAAAACAUAUGUCAUGCCUUAUAUUAAUGGCCUUUCUGGACACGAAUCGCAAAAAUGGCCGCCUAGCUUCGCGCUGGGAACAAAUCCCUCUCGCACUGUUUCCAAUUUAGCCAGGCGACAGCGUCACAAUAUAUGAUACAAAGAUGCUAUUAGAGGUCAAUUCCAAGAAAUCAAAGAAUCAUUGCUUGUCAUGAUUCAGAAUUUAUUCACCAUCAAGAUGUGACAGGAUUGGAUUGGCAAUCUAUUACAUAAAUCACCAGCCAUGGUCUUGUCAACUACAGCUAUUUAAGAAGGUGAAUCACAUCAUUUAAGUGACAAAUUAUCUCUUAUAUUUCAUGGAACUCACAGCAUACCAAAGUCUUAGUUGACUACAUGUUGGAGGUGAUUGUAAAAGA
This is a non-coding RNA of Pocillopora verrucosa, 602 nucleotides long. The record is from RefSeq and is a predicted model, not a curated record. Lineage: Eukaryota; Metazoa; Cnidaria; Anthozoa; Scleractinia; Pocilloporidae.